CAAAAUCUCACCUCCCAAGAAUAUUGCUAGCAAAAAAGACUGCUAUAAUGUGACAAAUGGAGAAGAAGGGAAAUGUUCCACUGAACUUGGGUUGAAUCUUGAGCUUAGCCAACAUGGUGGCAAUCAUGAAUAUACUAGUAACUAUUCAAAGUUUAAUACUAGUGGAUAUGGAUUUACAUUCCUACAGAGGCAAGAAUUAGAGCAACAAUUUUUCAUCUACAAGUACAUUGAAGCUGGGAUACCUAUUCCCUCUCAUCUUAUUAUUCCUAUAUUCAAGUCUAUUACUUGCUCUUUAAAAGGUCUUCAUAAUGGUAUCUAUCCACAUUAUCCCAA
Molecule: long non-coding RNA, 333 nt
Organism: Nicotiana attenuata
Lineage: Eukaryota; Viridiplantae; Streptophyta; Magnoliopsida; Solanales; Solanaceae
Exons: 2
Source: RefSeq, a predicted model, not a curated record